CUAAUACAUGCAAGUCGAGCGGCAGCGUGGGUAGUAGCAAUACUAUCUGACGGCGAGCGGCGGACGGGUGAGGAACACGUAGGAACUUGCCCUUUAGAGGGGGAUAACCAAGGGAAACUUUGGCUAAUACCGCAUAUACUCGGAAGAGGAAAGCUGCCCGCGAGGGUGGCGCUAGAGGAGAGGCCUGCGUCCGAUUAGCUAGCUGGAGAGGUAAGAGCUCACCAAGGCGAUGAUCGGUAACUGGUCUGAGAGGACGACCAGUCACACUGGGACUGAGACACGGCCCAGACUCCUACGGGAGGCAGCAGUGGGGAAUCUUGGACAAUGGGGGCAACCCUGAUCCAGCGAUGCCGCGUGGGUGAAGAAGGCCUUCGGGUUGUAAAGCCCUUUAGGUUGGGAAGAAGUGCGUAGGUGAAUAACCUAUUGCUUUGACGGUACCGACAGAAUAAGCACCGGCAAACUCUGUGCCAGCAGCCGCGGUAA
This 483-nucleotide ribosomal RNA is filed under the name uncultured bacterium. RNAcentral's name for it is "partial 16S ribosomal RNA". It matches the Rfam family "Bacterial small subunit ribosomal RNA", at positions 48 to 523 of the family's 1533-position model. The record is from RNAcentral.